Molecule: ribosomal RNA, 497 nt
Filed under: uncultured bacterium
Lineage: Bacteria
Description: partial 16S ribosomal RNA
Rfam family: Bacterial small subunit ribosomal RNA
Source: RNAcentral
GAUGAACGCUGGCGGCGUGCCUAAUACAUGCAAGUCGAGCGAACAGACGAGGAGCUUGCUCCUCUGACGUUAGCGGCGGACGGGUGAGUAACACGUGGAUAACCUACCUAUAAGACUGGGAUAACUUCGGGAAACCGGAGCUAAUACCGGAUAAUAUAUUGAACCGCAUGGUUCAAUAGUGAAAGACGGUUUUGCUGUCACUUAUAGAUGGAUCCGCGCCGCAUUAGCUAGUUGGUAAGGUAACGGCUUACCAAGGCAACGAUGCGUAGCCGACCUGAGAGGGUGAUCGGCCACACUGGAACUGAGACACGGUCCAGACUCCUACGGGAGGCAGCAGUAGGGAAUCUUCCGCAAUGGGAGAAAGCCUGACGGAACAACGCCGCGUGAGUGAUGAAGGUCUUCGGAUCGUAAAACUCUGUUAUUAGGGAAGAACAAAUGUGUAAGUAACUAUGCACGUCUUGACGGUACCUAAUCAGAAAGCCACGGCUAACUACGUG